RNAcentral lists this ribosomal RNA (237 nucleotides) under uncultured bacterium. Its description in RNAcentral is "partial 16S ribosomal RNA". It matches the Rfam family "Bacterial small subunit ribosomal RNA", at positions 15 to 217 of the family's 1533-position model. The record is from RNAcentral.
GAUCAUGGCUCAGGAUGAACGCUGGCGGCAUGCCUAAGACAUGCAAGUCGAACGAGAUGGCCCAGUGAAGGUUGAGUGCUUGCACAAGACUGAAUCUGGAUUACCAUCUAGUGGCAGACGGGUGAGUAACACGUGGGUGACCUACCUUUUCGUUGGGGAUAACAGUUGGAAACGAUUGCUAAUACCGAAUAAUAUGUAAGAGUCAAUUUUACAUUGAAAGGAGCCUUUAAAGCUCCG